Molecule: long non-coding RNA, 569 nt
Filed under: Androctonus crassicauda
Lineage: Eukaryota; Metazoa; Arthropoda; Arachnida; Scorpiones; Buthidae
Source: RNAcentral
AGAUGUUAGUGACUGACAUAUUAGAUUUUCCAGGUGAGAAAACCUACGAUUGAUUUAGAUCCAAUAUCAUCACUUAUUUAUGCUAAAGUUAUCAUCUAAAACUACAAGAAGUUUCUGACUUAUGUUGAUUAUUUACAAUGAAAAUCCAUACUUACAAUGUCUACUACCAUCAAUGAUUUUGUAGUAAUGGUAGCCCAAUUGCCUGGAUGGCCAAGUAGUUAUCAGGAUGAAGUGUGCAGUGUUUACAUCAUGGAGUUUUUAUAUUUAAUUCUGAGUUUCAUAAGUCCUAGAUUUAGAUAGAUUUUUUUUAGAUGUCCAAGCGCAGCACAUUCAAUCCCAUCCUUCAUCUGACUAUCCAUUGUUAUCAUAGAUACAGGCAGCAUAUGAUAGGAAUUGGGAUGCCCAGCUCUUGGUAUCCAAUAAGAAAGAAUGCAGGAUACAAUACAAAAGAAAAAUGGCAGCCAUGUAAUCUUCAAUGCUUUUUGUAUAAAAAUUUUGUUUCAAUUCAAAAAUAUUUCCUAAUAUAUUUGCAAAGAAAUCACAUAUACAGAUAGUUAUCAACUUAUGAC